RNAcentral lists this ribosomal RNA (400 nucleotides) under uncultured bacterium. RNAcentral's name for it is "bacterial SSU rRNA". It matches the Rfam family "Bacterial small subunit ribosomal RNA", at positions 356 to 773 of the family's 1533-position model. The record is from RNAcentral.
GGGGAAUAUUGGACAAUGGGGGCAACCCUGAUCCAGCAAUGCCGCGUGAGUGAUGAAGGCCUUAGGGUUGUAAAGCUCUUUUACCGGGGACGAUGAUGACGGUACCCGGAGAAUAAGCCCCGGCUAACUUCGUGCCAGCAGCCGCGGUAAUACGAAGGGGGCGAGCGUUGUUCGGAGUUACUGGGCGUAAAGGGCGCGUAGGCGGCGCUCCAAGUUAGGCGUGAAAGCCCCGGGCUCAACCUGGGAAUUGCGCUUAAGACUGGAGUGCUCGAGUGCGGAAGAGGUGAGUGGAAUUCCCAGUGUAGAGGUGAAAUUCGUAGAUAUUGGGAAGAACACCAGUGGCGAAGGCGGCUCACUGGUCCGCAACUGACGCUGAGGCGCGAAAGCGUGGGGAGCAAAC